GGCAGUGGUGUGGCAUAGUGGUAAUAAGUAAGGCUCGUAACUAAAAGGUUGCUGGUUCGAUUCCACGUUGGGGCACUGCCA
Non-coding RNA from Megalops atlanticus (tarpon), 81 nucleotides. The record is from the annotation of a GenBank genome assembly. NCBI's taxonomy places the organism in Eukaryota, Metazoa, Chordata, Actinopteri, Elopiformes, Megalopidae.